Molecule: ribosomal RNA, 119 nt
Filed under: uncultured SAR86 cluster bacterium
Lineage: Bacteria; Pseudomonadati; Pseudomonadota; Gammaproteobacteria
Description: partial 16S ribosomal RNA
Rfam family: Bacterial small subunit ribosomal RNA
Source: RNAcentral
AUUGCACCAGAAGUAGAUAGUCUAACCUUCGGGAGGGCGUUUACCACGGUGUGCUUCAUGACUGGGGUGAAGUCGUAACAAGGUAGCCGUAGGGGAACCUGUGGCUGGAUCACCUCCUU